UACGUAGGGUGCGAGCGUUAAUCGGAAUUACUGGGCGUAAAGCGUGCGCAGGCGGUUUUGUAAGCCAGAUGUGAAAUCCCCGGGCUUAACCUGGGAAUGGCAUUCGAGACUGCAUUGCUAGAGUAUGGGAGAGGGAAGUGGAAUUUCCGGUGUAGCGGUGAAAUGCGUAGAUAUCGGAAGGAACAUCAGUGGCGAAAGCGACUUCCUGGACCAAUACUGACGCUCAUGUGCGAAAGCGUGGGGAGCAAACAGG
This 253-nucleotide ribosomal RNA is filed under the name uncultured bacterium. Its description in RNAcentral is "partial 16S ribosomal RNA". It matches the Rfam family "Bacterial small subunit ribosomal RNA", at positions 524 to 776 of the family's 1533-position model. The record is from RNAcentral.